CGCGGCGUGGAGCAGCCUGGUAGCUCGUCGGGCUCAUAACCCGAAGGUCGUCGGUUCAAAUCCGGCCCCCGCAACCA
This 77-nucleotide transfer RNA is filed under the name Escherichia coli. RNAcentral's name for it is "tRNA-Met". It matches the Rfam family "tRNA". From Rfam's summary of the family: Transfer RNA (tRNA) molecules are approximately 80 nucleotides in length. Their secondary structure includes four short double-helical elements and three loops (D, anti-codon, and T loops). Further hydrogen bonds mediate the characteristic L-shaped molecular structure. tRNAs have two regions of fundamental functional importance: the anti-codon, which is responsible for specific mRNA codon recognition, and the 3' end, to which the tRNAs corresponding amino acid is attached (by aminoacyl-tRNA synthetases). tRNAs cope with the degeneracy of the genetic code in two manners: having more than one tRNA (with a specific anti-codon) for a particular amino acid; and 'wobble' base-pairing, i.e. permitting non-standard base-pairing at the 3rd anti-codon position. Lineage: Bacteria; Pseudomonadati; Pseudomonadota; Gammaproteobacteria; Enterobacterales; Enterobacteriaceae. The record is from RNAcentral.